GAAUGGAAUGAUGAAUAUUUGUUUCCCUAUUGGUUUGACUGCCAGAAUGAUGCAAUUUGUUUUAGAACUAUCUGACCGUUC
Molecule: small nucleolar RNA, 81 nt
Organism: Medicago truncatula (barrel medic)
Lineage: Eukaryota; Viridiplantae; Streptophyta; Magnoliopsida; Fabales; Fabaceae
Rfam family: Small nucleolar RNA Z102/R77
About the family: Z102 and R77 and are members of the C/D class of snoRNA which contain the C (UGAUGA) and D (CUGA) box motifs.
Source: Rfam